UACGUAGGGUGCGAGCGUUAAUCGGAAUUACUGGGCGUAAAGCGUGCGCAGGCGGUCUGUUAAGACCGAUGUGAAAUCCCCGGGCUUAACCUGGGAACCUGCAUUGGUGACUGGCAGGCUUUGAGUGUGGCAGAGGGAGGUAGAAUUCGACGUGUAGCAGUGAAAUGCGUAGAGAUGUGGAGGAAUACCGAUGGCGAAGGCAGCCUCCUGGGCCAACACUGACGCUCAUGCACGAAAGCGUGGGGAGCAAACGGG
This 255-nucleotide ribosomal RNA is filed under the name uncultured bacterium. RNAcentral's name for it is "partial 16S ribosomal RNA". It matches the Rfam family "Bacterial small subunit ribosomal RNA", at positions 524 to 776 of the family's 1533-position model. The record is from RNAcentral.